Rattus norvegicus (Norway rat) is the source of this 739-nucleotide long non-coding RNA. RefSeq lists it as uncharacterized. NCBI's taxonomy places the organism in Eukaryota, Metazoa, Chordata, Mammalia, Rodentia, Muridae. The record is from RefSeq and is a predicted model, not a curated record.
GGCAACGGGUCAGGGAUGGCGUGCCCUCCACCCCAACGGGCCCUAAAGCUGCAUUGCUGAAAGGGGGCAGGCCCCAUUCUCAGCCCUCCCCAGAACAGGGCAGGGAGGACAAUGGCAGAUGGUCACCAUGGAGCCUCAUCCCCGAGAGGCCCAAUGCAGGGGGAUGAUGCAGAUGGAAGAUCUGUCUGCUUCAACAUUCCACCCUAACCCCACUCCCUAAAGAGCUAGGCAGAAAACCCCUGGGCUUAGAACUGGGGAGUAGGGCAAAGGCCUUGACUAUUCCUUCAACGAGGAGCUACCUCUCUCUUCUCCAUUCAACACAGAGCAAAACUCCCACACACCACUUUUCCAUGAUGCUUUUCUCACCCUGAAGGGGAGAUUGCAUGGCCUGCUCUCUUCUCUGGUUACUGGCAACUGUGCCCAAGGAUGAAAAUGAGAUGACUGAAGCCCAGGAAGAAGGUAUGGACACCGAGGAACACAGAGAGGUAACGCAUCUGGUAAGCAGUGGGAAGAACAACUUGACGCUUUGCAGAAAUAUGAAGGGGAAACAGAAAACAGACAUGGAGGAACUCGCUCUGAGUUAUGGAUUACUAUGACGAUUACACACGCGUGAAUCAAAAGGGCAAGUUCCCCAAAGGCCUCAAACCCAAAGACAUGGCUGGAGUGCUGGGAGGUACAGUGAACCUGGCACUCGGGCCUGGUUUUACACUUCCCAGAAUAAAAGCCCAUCACAACGAAA